CCGGCUGUAAACAAAUGACCGUUUUGCCCUUCAUAAGCUAAAGAGCGCAACCACGCGAUGUUUCCUGCAAAAAUCAACCAACUACAAGAACUUGUUAGUAAUUAGUUAAAUGCAAAAAUGCAACAGAACGCGAGAUGGUUCGACUAAUCUUAGGGCAAAAUUUGGGGUGUUACACACACCUUCCAAAAACACACACGAUCAUUCAAAUCAUUACUAGAAGGAUUGAAAUCUUUGUAAUUAGUCUGAGAUAGAUGUCUCACGGAUCGUGGAACAUUUGGCUUGACAUUUGUCCAUGAAUCUUGAACAAAUCAAACAAAAUCUUUACUUGAUAUAAAUCAUAAUUCCAUCUUCUCAGAUAAAGGAUUCAGAAUAAAUCUCUUAAUAAAACUGAACCAUACUUCAAAUCAUCUUUAAUAGAGAUUGGAAAUUUCCUCAUUAAGUGCAACUCUAAAUCUUGUAAGUAAAAACAAAUUCAAUAAGAUCUCUUCAAGGAAUAUAAAUCUUCAAUCAAUAUCUUUGCAUAUCAAUAUUUGAAUAAACUGAAUCUGAAACAAAACUUCCUUCAAAGCAUACUCAAAUAAAUCUUUUAUUCAAUGCAAAUCCAAUCAAAUCAAAUAUUCUUAUUUAUGCCAAAUCUAAAUCUUUUUAAUUAAACCAUAUCUAAUUAAAUCUUCUUCAGACUUAUGGAUUAAUAAAAAAAAUCCAAAUUGAUUUAGAUUAACAAACUUCUUUCAAAAGUAAUCAUUUGAUCGUACAAGAAUCAAUAUUGAAUCAUAUGAUGCAUUCUAUGCAGAACGCGCACCCAUGUGUCAUACAAUAUGUUCCAAACAUCUUGCUCAACAAGUUUCUUGAACUUGAACAAACUUUAACACUAAAUAAAACUAACCAACUCAUUGUAAUAACCUCUGGGAGAAAACAUAACACUCAAAUUUACUCACGAAACUUGACUUAUAGACUGAGACCAGAUGAUGCACACAUAUUGGAACAUCUUAUCCCAUAUGAUGCCUCUUCAUAAUUUACAUUUUGUGUUGUCCAUGUUGUUUUACCAAAUGCGGUCACUCAAAAGGAACAACAAAACUGAAAAUUGCAUAAGGAAUAACAUUCUCAAUAACAACAUUGAGCAACAAAAAUAACAACAUAAUAUUUUACCUAUAUCAACAAAAAAAUAACAACGCAACUAACAAAAAAAACACAACAAUACCAUAUAUAACUCAACAAAACAACAUAUAUAACUCAACAAAAAACAUAAACAUUAACAAAAAAACAUUAUACUUGUAUCAACAAAAACAACAACAUAACUCAACAAAAGUAACAACAUAACUAAUAAAAACCACAUCAAUAUCUGAAACCUUUUACUUGUCUUAACAAAAAUAACAUAUAUAACUCAACAAUAACAUCAAAAUUAACGAAAAUAUUAUACUUGUAUAAAAAAAAUAGCAUAGCUCAACAAAAACAACAACAUAUAUAAUUAAAUAAAAACAACUUAUACAACUCAACAAAAUCAACAUAUAUAACUCAACAAAAACACCAACAUUAACAAAUACAUCUUACUUGUAUCAACAAAAAUAACAACAUAACUAAAAAAAAACAUAACUAAUAAAACCACAACAAUAACAUAAAUCUUUUACUAUUAUCUCAACAAAAAUGUCAAGAUUAACAAAAAUCUUUUACUUGUAUCAACAAAAGUAACAACAUAACUCAACAAAAAAAAAACAUAACUCAACAAAAAAACAACAAUAAAACUGAAAAAACCACAACAAUAACAUAUAUAACUCAACAUAAACAACAUAUAUUACUCAACAAAAACAUCAACGUUAACAAAAACCUCUUACUUGUAUCAACAAGAACAACAACAUAACUAACAAUAACAUAAAAUUUUCAAUUAUCUCAACAAAAACAACAACAUAAAACCUUUAAUCUAAUCUUAAUAACAACAACAAUAAUUGUUAACCUACUUAUUAACUCAACAAAAUAAGAAAACAACUCCACAAAAAAAGCAUUCAAUAUAUAUGAUUUAAUGUCUCAGUAAAAAGAAAAACAAUAAAUCCUAAAAGACAAAUAGUUUUAACAACAAAAAAAAUUAAAGAAUGGUGGAAAAUGUUUCACGUACAUACCGGAAAUGUGAAGAGGAAGACAAAGAAAUGAGUUUCAUGUUUUUGUUUUGCAAAGAUUUGUGACACAUUUCCUUGAUCCAUACUAAUUGAAGAAGUUAUGUUUGAGUUUUGUAAAAAUAUGUUGAAGUUUUGUGAGAUUGAGAUAAGGUAGAGUUUCAUGUAUGAAGUGCAAAUUGUUCUGAAGUGAGUUAAGUUAGUUUAUAUAGGUAAAAUAUUUCAUCACAGUUGAUAAAGG
RNAcentral lists this long non-coding RNA (2349 nucleotides) under Lathyrus oleraceus (garden pea). Its description in RNAcentral is "Pisum sativum (pea) long non-coding RNA (PSAT_LNC003390)". Lineage: Eukaryota; Viridiplantae; Streptophyta; Magnoliopsida; Fabales; Fabaceae. The record is from RNAcentral.